Molecule: ribosomal RNA, 237 nt
Filed under: uncultured bacterium
Lineage: Bacteria
Description: partial 16S ribosomal RNA
Rfam family: Bacterial small subunit ribosomal RNA
Source: RNAcentral
UGAGGAACAUGACCUUCGGCGGGGGAGUAGCCGGCCCAACGGCCGGGUAAUACCGCGUACGACCACAUGGGGACAUCCCUGAGUGGUGAAAGCAGCAAUGCGCCGAUGGAGUGCCUCGCGGCCUAUCAGCUAGUUGGUGAGGUAACGGCUCACCGAGGCGACGGACGGGUAGCUGGUCUGAGAGGAUGGCCAGCCCACAGUUUGGGACUGAGACACGGCCCAGACCUGUACGGGAGG